Molecule: small nucleolar RNA, 133 nt
Filed under: Meriones unguiculatus (Mongolian gerbil)
Lineage: Eukaryota; Metazoa; Chordata; Mammalia; Rodentia; Muridae
Description: Small nucleolar RNA SNORA17 (ENSMUGG00000010339.1)
Rfam family: Small nucleolar RNA SNORA17
About the family: snoRNA ACA 17 belongs to the H/ACA family of snoRNAs and is predicted to guide pseudouridylation of the 28S rRNA at positions U4659 and U4598.
Source: RNAcentral
GCUGCCUCUAGAGGUGUUGCAGCUGUGGCUACUGAGUCAUGUGUGUAUCAGUAGGUGUUAAGAGAGGAGAGAGAAUAUGUCUAGGCUCAGCGCUCUGACCUGUGAAUGUCUUAAUGAUUAGUAGCCUAGCAUU